RNAcentral lists this ribosomal RNA (460 nucleotides) under uncultured bacterium. RNAcentral's name for it is "partial 16S ribosomal RNA". It matches the Rfam family "Bacterial small subunit ribosomal RNA", at positions 338 to 795 of the family's 1533-position model. The record is from RNAcentral.
CCUACGGGCGGCAGCAGUGAGGAAUAUUGGUCAAUGGGCGAAAGCCUGAACCAGCCAAGUCGCGUGAAGGAAGAAGGAUCUAUGGUUUGUAAACUUCUUUUAUAGGGGAAUAAAGGGAGGAACGUGUUCCUGUUUGGAUAUAACAUAUGAAUAAGCAUCGGCUAACUCCGUGCCAGCCGCCGCGGUAAUACGGAGGAUUCGAGCGUUUUCCCGAUUUAUUGGGGUUAAAGGGUUCGUAGGUGGUUAUUUAAGUCAACGGUGAAAGUUUGUGGCUCAAACAUAAUAUUGCCGUUGAAACUGGGUGACUUGAGUGUGGUUGAGGAAGGCGGAAUGCGUGGUGUAGCGGUGAAAUGCAUAGAUAUCACGCAGAACUCCGAUUGCGAAGGCAGCUUACUAAACUAUAACUGACACUGAAGCACGAAAGCGUGGGGAUCAAACAGGAUUAGAUACCCGGGUAGUC